CCUGCUGCCUGCUGGGCACCUGCUGGUGCAAGAGCUGCCUCAGCGUGUGCGUCCUGGCGGCCCUGUGCUUCGCCUCGCUGGCCCUGGUGCGCCAGUACCUGCGCGACCUGCUCCUGUGGGCGGAGAGCCUGGACAGCCUGGCCGGCGUGCUGCUCUUCACCGUGGGCUUCAUCGUCGUGUCCUUCCCCUGCGGCUGGGGCUACAUCCUGCUCAACGUGGCCGCCGGCUACCUCUACGGCUUCGUGCUGGGCAUGGGGCUGAUGGUGCUGGGCGUCCUCGUCGGCACCUUCGUGGCGCACGUGGCCUGCCGGCGGCUGCUGGCCCGCUGGGCGCUGGGCAGGAUCGACGCUCAGCGCCGUCGUCCGCGUGGUGGAGGGCGGCAGCGGGCUCAAGGUGGUGGCCCUGGCGCGCCUGACGCCCAUCCCCUUCGGGCUGCAGAACGCCGUCUUCGCGGUUACAGAUCUCUCAUUGCCCAACUACCUGAUGGCUUCUUCAGUUGGGCUGCUUCCUACUCAGCUCCUGAACUCAUACUUGGGAACUACCUUGCGCACCAUGGAGGACGUGAUCGCAGAACAAAGUGUUAGUGGCUAUUUUAUAUUCAGUUUACAGAUUGUUAUAAGCAUAGGACUUAUGUUUUAUGUUGUUCACCGAGCUCAAGUGGAACUGAAUGCAGCUAUUGUAGCGUGUGAGAUGGAGAUGAAGACAUCUCUUGUUAAAGACUGCCAGCCAAGCAUCAGCGGUUCAACGACAUACUGCAACAAAAGGACAGUAGCGUUCUCUGGGGGAGGUGUCAAUAUUGUGUGAUUUCAAGUAUUAAUAAAAUAAGGUUUUUGUGAACCUAAGCUAUUGCC
RNAcentral lists this long non-coding RNA (851 nucleotides) under Chrysolophus pictus (golden pheasant). RNAcentral describes it as "lncRNA (ENSCPIG00010001027.1)". Lineage: Eukaryota; Metazoa; Chordata; Aves; Galliformes; Phasianidae. The record is from RNAcentral.